RNA transcript from Panthera uncia (snow leopard), 1164 nucleotides. It is a transcript of the gene named retinol binding protein 5, with no coding region annotated. The transcript is spliced from 5 exons. The record is from RefSeq and is a predicted model, not a curated record. Lineage: Eukaryota; Metazoa; Chordata; Mammalia; Carnivora; Felidae.
AAAAGCCCUGGUAAGCACAGACCUUUACGCAGCCUCUGUGUUCGAGAGUGUUCUGUGUGUGUGUGUGUAUGUGUGUGCGUGCGUGCGUGCGUGUGUGUGUGUGUGUGUGUGUGUGUAGAGGCUGGUCUGGAGUCUCUCAGCCUCACCUGCCAGACAACAUCUGCUCCCUCCUCAUCCUGUCUGCUAUAUUCUCCUGAAAUUUCCAUCUCCAUCUUGGCCAGCCCAGACAAUGCCUCCCAACCUCACCGGCUACUACCGCUUUGUCUCGCAGAAGAACAUGGAACAUUAUCUGCAAGCCCUAAACAUCGGCAUGGCCUUGCGGAAGAUAGCACUGCUGCUCAAGCCAGACAAGGAGAUUGACCAUCAGGGCAACCACGUGAUAGUCAAGACCCUCAGCACCUUCCGCAACUACAUUCUGGAAUUUGAUGUGGGAGUUGAGUUUGAAGAAGAUCUAAGGAUCGUGGAUGGACGAAAAUGCCAGACCAUAGUAACCUGGGAGGAGGAGCAGCUAGUAUGUGUGCAGAAAGGGGAGGUCCCCAACCGAGGCUGGAGACACUGGCUGGAGGGAGAGAAGCUGUAUCUGGAACUGACUGCAAGGGAUGCAGUGUGCGAGCAGGUCUUCAGGAAGGUCAAAUAGCCAGACUGCACCGGUCCCCAGGCUCCUCCUGGGGAGGAGGCCUUGUACCCCUGCAAGCCAGAUUGUUCCAGGUCCUACUUUGGUCUGUAUGGUCCUGCUACUUGAUGGGGACAAGUCAAGGAGCCCUUCAGAUCUAAGGUGAAGGAGAGGGUCAGAAGCCCCCAAAGGCACUCUGGCUUUAGGGUAAUGCAUCUGAAAUACAACCAUGCCUAGCAAAAAUAACAUCUUACUAACUGAUCUUCUGAUUUAUUGUACUAAAAUAAUAUGUCUAUUUCUGUGAUACCCAACCAACCUCCAAGGUGGCCCCCAAUGAUCCCCGCUUCUUAGCAUUCCCUUCCUUGUGCAUUCUCCUCCUACACUGUAUCAGGGAAGGGUCCUGUGAAGAGGGUCACAUGGAAGGAACUGAGGCCUCCUGCCCAUAGUCCUGUAAGGGAGCCAUCCUGGAAGCAGACCCUCCAGCCCCAGUCAAGCCUUCAGAUGAAUGCAGCCAUGGCCAACACCUUGAUUGAAGCCUUGUGAGAGACUUA